UUUAAAUAGUUUAAUUAAAAUUUUGAUUUGUGGAGUCAAAGAUAUAUUAGUAGUAUUUUAAAUAA
RNAcentral lists this transfer RNA (65 nucleotides) under Amarygmini sp. ACP-2013. RNAcentral describes it as "tRNA-His". The record is from RNAcentral. Lineage: Eukaryota; Metazoa; Arthropoda; Insecta; Coleoptera; Tenebrionidae.